AGUGAACGCUGGCGGUAGGCCUAACACAUGCAAGUCGAACGGCAGCACAGUAAGAGCUUGCUCUUACGGGUGGCGAGUGGCGGACGGGUGAGGAAUACAUCGGAAUCUACUUUUUCGUGGGGGAUAACGUAGGGAAACUUACGCUAAUACCGCAUACGACCUACGGGUGAAAGCAGGGGAUCUUCGGACCUUGCGCGAUUGAAUUAGCCGAUGUCGGAUUAGCUAGUUGGCGGGGUAAAGGCCCACCAAGGCGACGAUCCGUAGCUGGUCUGAGAGGAUGAUCAGCCACACUGGAACUGAGACACGGUCCAGACUCCUACGGGAGGCAGCAGUGGGGAAUAUUGGACAAUGGGCGCAAGCCUGAUCCAGCCAUACCGCGUGGGUGAAGAAGGCCUUCGGGUUGUAAAGCCCUUUUGUUGGAAAGAAAAGCAGCAGGUUAAUACCCCGCUGUUCUGACGGUACCCAAAGAAUAAGCACCGGCUAACUUCGUG
Molecule: ribosomal RNA, 491 nt
Filed under: uncultured bacterium
Lineage: Bacteria
Description: partial 16S ribosomal RNA
Rfam family: Bacterial small subunit ribosomal RNA
Source: RNAcentral